AAAUUGAAAUGGAAAUAUUAUAGCAAAAGACUGGUUUAGUCUUUAUGUAAGACAUCAUGAAUCGUGUCCCAUAUGCUUCGGAUAUAGGAUCGAUUACAUGUGCUAUAUUCAUCCGUUCUAAAAUUUUCCAAAUGCCUGGGGCAUUAAGAAGGGAAAAGGUUUAGAACUGGAUAUGACUAAAAGGAUUAAACAAUUGUCGAGGACAAUCUAAGGUUUACCAAAGAUUGGUUGCUCAAGGACAGUUGGAAGUAUAGUGAUAAUUCUGGAAGGACCAUAUUGACAUAAUCUGUAAGGAGGCAACUCUUGUUCAGAAGUGAUAGUCAAAAUGGAAUCUGGAAAUGUUUCAAAGUUAGAAUUUUCAAUCUGUUUAAGAUUAGGAAACUUAAUGCAAGAAGGAUGUUUCCAAGGAGCUGAUCUCCUUUGGAAUACUCUGUAAUGAUUGUUGUCAAGUCUUUCUGACUUUGUGCAUAAUCAUUACAAGAGGAUCAAUGCAUAUAAGUUUAGAAUCUAACAGAUUUCAGUAAAUGGCAUGAAUUUGGAAUUCUUGCAUUUGCAGUAAGGAUUUGGGAGUGUGAAAAGAGAAUCAUUGAAGUUAUGUUCAAUUGAUCUAGUUCACAAAGUAAAGAUCAUAGACAAACAUAGUAUGCAUACUUGGUGUGUGGCAUGACUAGUGUUUAAGAAAACAUAGUGUACAUGCUUGGAGCAUGGGACAACUAUUGUUUUAAAUUCAAGAAUAAAGUUGAUAGCUGAAACAGUAUACAAUGAAUAAUGUGUAAUCAUAUGGUGAUAAAUAAAAGGUGUUUUAUUUAUGUUCAAAGGGUUGAUACCAUAUUGGAUUCAAUUAUUAUUGUGUUUCACUUUGCAUGUUUUGACUUCCCGAAUAAACUGGGUUAUUCUUCCGGAAUGACUAAGUUAUUCAAACCAUCCACAGUCGGUCAUAUGUUGGAAGUAGAUAUGAAUUAAGACUGUCAUGAUGGGUUGUAGAGGUCUAAGGUGUUGGACAAGGCUACAACAAUCAUGAGUGCUCAUAAGUUCUGAGUAUUGGAUUCAACCCGCGCUCAUUGGAAUCACUUCAUGGAUUUUAUCACGAGUGAUCAUGAGACGAUAAUAUCUUAUAUUCUUCAAACCUAGAGAUAUGAGUUGUUACUAUGAGUUGAUAGUACAUUGAUAGCACGAAAACGCAUUUGGUAACUCGGUGCUAUAAAACGUGCCUUUGUGUAUGAUUCAACAAGUAGUAGAACAAGCCAUAUGAGUCGAAGUUUAUCCGUUCCUUUUACCUUCGGGAUAAAAGCGAUAUCUGUGGGCCCCUCGAUGAUUUGAUGAUGACAAAUGGAAGUGCUCGGCCGGGCCAGGACUGAUUUGAUUUGUUCAAUUAGUCAGUCGUCAUAAAUCGGAAAUCGGGAAACAACAAAUGGACAGAGAGAAUGAUUAUAAUCCAUGUCUCAGUCCAUAUGAUAUCUAGAAUGGAGGAAUAUAUGAUCCCUUAUCUAAUGGACAAGUCACUGACAAAGGUCAGAGUUCAUCUACAAGGUCAGAGUUCGACAGAAGCUUUUGAGAGCUACGAUUGCCGGUUGGUUCCUGAAGUCAUACGCAAUAAUAGUUUUAGACUUAUCCAAGUGGGAGACUGUUGGAUUAAUGUCUAAGUCCAUAACUAUAUUUGGUAAGACUUGACCCGACCCGGCAUGGUCCAUUUGGGUUGCAUACCAUCAUGCACUUGAAUGAGAGAAAUAAGACACUUAUGGUUAUUAAUAUAUUAUAAGUUCUAGUAUAUUAAUAAUAAGAAUAAUAAGAUUAUUUAAUUAGUAUUGAUCAAGAAUUAAUCUAGGAUUAAUUAAGUGAUCAAAAGAAGACUAAUUAAAUAUAUGGGUUGAUUGUGUAAAUCAUCCAUACUUGUAUAGUGGGCUAAUGCUCCAUGGAUAAUCAAGUUGGGCUAAAACCCAUAGGAUGGUCCAUGGAUGCUCCAUGGUGUAUUUGUACCCAUGGAUCCAAGGAAAUGGAAAGCCAUGACAAUUAAGAGUUUACCCUAAUUGUGUAACUAUAUAAGCAUCUUAUUAUUGAGGAAAAAUCGGCCACUAGAGAUAGUGAAGAAAGGGCUAGCCGAUUUUGAUGAGUGUAGAAUUCUCUCAAGUCAUUCCAAGUGUUUUGAUGAUUGUGAUUCCAUUUGAGGUGUCACACUUGGGGCACUAAGCACUCAAGCUUCAUGAAGACUUACUACACCAAAAAGGUAUGUAUUCUAUCCUACUAUAUCCAUUGUUUUAUAUGCUAGAUUAGGAUAAUACCUUGGAAGUUCUUAUUUGCAUGUAUAAUAGAGAAAACAUAGAUCCAAGGUAUUUAGGGUUGCAUGUACACUUAGGAAGUGUUAGAAUGCACAAAACCCAACAUCAUGAGAGUGUUGUGUCAAAGGAAAUGAAUGUGGUUUCCAGCUUGGGUUCGUUAGCUCUAAUCUCCAAGGGAAAAAGUGCAGUUGAAGAAGAAGAAGAUUUGGAUCUUGCUGAAUAUGAUCUAAGUGGUGAAGACUAUGAUUUGAUGGUGUCCAAUCCGAGAAAGUUUAUCAAAAGAAAGUUCCCCACCAAUAAGAACCGAAAUUGGCAGGGAAGUUAUAGUUCUGAAAAGGUGAAGGAGGAAUCGAAGAUGGUUUCUAAGACUGAAGAAUCGAAGAAGGAAACAAUGAUUGGAGGUGACUCAGGUUUUGAUUGCCAUUAUUGUGGAGGCAAGAAUCACUUUGCCAAAGAUUGCAUGCUGAAUAAGACAUUGGAAAGGGUUGAUGAAGGCGAUGAAGAAGCGAACCUCCUGAGACGAUUAGAGGAGAUCAAGAAAAAGAAAUCAACAACUAACAAUAAUACCAUGAAUGCUUUAAUUGUGCAGGGUAUAAGUUAUAAUGAUGAGUUUGGUGGAGUUCAGGUGUGGUCCACAGAUUCGGAGGACGAAGAAGUAAGUAAGCUCACUCAUGGCAAGGCUCUGCUGGUGAAAGAAGAAAUGGUUGAGGGAAGAUGUUUGAUGGUGACGGCUGGUGUGUCGCAUAUGCGAGGAUACACAACAGAUGGUGGACUAGAUGACAAGAAGGAUCGAGAGGACAGAUGUUUCGCUGCGAAACCUGUUAGUGCGCAGAUCAACGAAUGUGACGAGUUGAUCAAGAAGGUACAAAGUAUUCUCAUUUCUCGGAAAAUACCCAUUACAAACUAUGAAAAGGAACUAAAUGGAUUAAAAUCUAAAUUUUCUAGUUUAAGUAGUAGUCUUACCCAAACUCGUGUCACAAACUCUAUCCUGACUUAUCAAAUUAGCAGGGUAUCGUCGAAGAGUGAGGAGAGGCGAAUCUGGAUUGAGAAAAAGGAGAAGGAAUUAAUUAGGUCUAGGGACGAAUCUAUCUAUUAGUAAUGAGACAAUCUUAAUCUUUUAAACUAAUGAAAUGUUUUUUUGUUUGAUUGCUAAAAGAUUAUAUUUUAAUAUCACUCAGUUACAUCUCGAUUGUGAAAUAGGAAAGAAGAUACGUAGCAUGAUUUUACCCUUCCUUGAGCUAAAGGAGGAUGAAGUCGAUUCCGAAGCUUACAACUGUAAAUAUGUUGAAUCUUCUAAUGAAAUAUCUCCCGCGUACAAAAUUUGUCUUAACAAAAUAGAGUCCAACAUAAAGUCAAAAGACCAUAAGGACAUGCUCAAAAAUCUAUUGGAUGAAAACGACAAACUAAAAUUGAGAACCGAAACUUUACAGAAAUUUGACUCGUUGAAUGCCAAGUUAAGUUCAGAAAAUAAAAUCGAUGUUGAAAAUGCAUCUGAACUUAAUGAGGAUGAUGACAUCAGUGAAAGCUUCGUAGAGGAUGAGGUUGACUGCUCAAAAUUUGUCAAGAGCAAACCUGAAAACCACAAAAAUCUCAUAUCUGAAUAUGUAGUUGAGUUUGCUCGUAUAUCCAAUGAUAAGACCAAAGUGCUUAAAGAAAAAGCAGUUGUAUUCCAAAAAGUCCAAACUACUCCUAUUCAGGUCUAUAAGGUUACUGGAGUAACUGAACAUCAAACAGCCGAACUCACAGCGUUAGUUAACGAAGAUAAUGCUGAUGGCUGUGAUGAAUUCUUUUGGUCUACUUCAAUUGACAACGCUGAUGAAACUGUUGGCCUAUCAGAGAAAACAUCCUGGAAAGUUAAGGGAGGUAUGUGGCAGAACCACUCAACAAGCGUGGCAAUUUUGAUGUGCUAAGCACUAGUGGUACAAAAAAGGUUCGAGUCAAACCAGUCAAAGAGGCAACCAAAACCUCAUCACUAAAGAGUGAAACACAUGCUCAAAGACUGAAGCAAAAAGCUAACAUCCACAAGACCCAGAAAUAGGUGUCAGAAAGAAAUAACAAACGUAACUUGAGAUACAAGAAGAAUCUCACAAAGAGGAAACAAUUUUGGCGAUUCCAGUUGCCUCAAUACGUUAGGUAUGAAAAGACAAAUAAGUCACAAGGAGAAACAAGAGCCAAUUCCACUUCACGAAAUCAGUCUCCCUUACAUGGCAAGAACAACUGAAACAAGGAUUUCGGCUACUACCAUGAAAACAACCAAAGGCAUAGGUUCGGUUCACAAUGUCACAACAACCGAAAGGAAAGUUUUGGUCAUCAGGUGACAAACAACCGAACGAAUGGGUUCAGUCCCCAAAGAAAAAAACAAACCAAAAGAGAAAUUUCGGUCCUCGGGCAAUGACAACCGGAAGGAAGUUUUCGGUCCUCACCAUGUAAGCAAACGAAUGGAAGGGUUCGGUCCCAAGUCCACAUGUGAGAAGAACCGAAGGGAAAGUUGUUUCCAUUCUCAACCAAGGAAGAGCAAUAACCAAAGGUCUAACUUUGCUUCUAAAGCUCUUUCUUCUUAUUCCCGUUCUCACUCAACAAAAGAUUCAAAAAGGAAAGGAAAGCUCUUUCCAGAAGAUGAAAGACACCCGAUAGAAACUCGAAAGCAUGCAGACGUCAAAACAACAAAUCCUAUGUCUAAACCAAAUGAGUCCAAAUCGAAUAAAAUCAAAGUUUUUAUUAUCAAGAGAAAAGAUGAAAAUACAUUAAUAAAAAGAACUUAUCUGAUUGAUGUCUCUCUCAUAAUUGCCUAUCCUAUAAAAGGCUCACAAGGACCCAAGAAGCUUUGGGUUCCUAAAUCUGCUUGAUAUUUUGCAGGUUAUUCGUGACGAGCAGUUCGACAAAGAAUGGUACAUUGAUAGUGGCUGCUCGCGUCACAUGACAGGUAUAAGGGAAGAACUGAGGGAGUUUCGGUUCCUCAAGGAUGGUGGAAUGAUGAAAUAUGACAACAAUUCGUUCGAAACAAUCAAAGGCUAUGGUAUGAUUACAAAUGGUGACUUAUUGAUAAGAAAGGUAACAUACGUUGAAGGAUUGCAGCACAACCUCAUCAGUGUCUCACAACUGGUGGUUGGUACCGGAUUUAGGGUCUCCUUUGAUGAUGAAGGCUCAGAAAUUGUUGAAAAGAAGUCCAAUAAUAUUCUGUUGAAAUUGAAGCGAAAGGGAGAAAUUUACCCUCUAAAUGUCAAUUCAAUUCGAGGGAAACCAGUUGUUUGAUUACUAACGAAGGCACACUCAGACAAAAGCUGGUUAUAGCAUCGAAGGCUCUCACAUCUCAAUUUCAAAGAUAUCAACAAGCUGGUGCUUGGUGAUCAUGUUUGAGGUCUUCCAGUUCUAAAAUUUGACAAAGAACAUCUAUGUGCAUCUUGUGAAAUGCGAAAGCAAAGUCGACAAAGCCAUCCUACUACAAUCAACACAAAGGUGAUAGAACCACUAGAGCUACUACACAUCGAUCUGUGUGGUCCUUCUUCAAUCGAAAGCACUGGUGGAACACAAGUAUAUACUUGUUAUAGUAGACAAUUUCUCUCGCUUCACAUGGGUAUUUUUCUUUAAGCAAAAAUCAAAGGCCACUCCCAAGCUCAAACUCUUUAUAAAACAAGUAGAGGUUCAACUACGAAAAGUGGUUCAUAACAGUGAGAAGUGAUAAUGGCUUGGAAUUCAAGAACAAGGAUUUUAAAGACUUUUUACCAGAGAAGGGAACGACUCACAACUUUUCUGCUCCAUAUACUCCACAACAAAAUGGAAUCAUUGAAAGGCGAAAUCAUUCUCGUUGUGAAGCAGCCCGAACUAUGCUGAACUUCGCUUCAUUACCUUUAUAUUUAUGGGCUGAUGCUACUGCUGCUGCUUACUACACGCAUAAUAGAUCGUAUCUGAACAAGCGCUUCUCAAUCACUCCUUAUAGAUCUUGAAGAACCGAAAGCCAAAUGUGAAGUUCUUUCACGUGUUCGGUUCAAGAUGCUUCAUCUUCAACUCAAAGGAGAAUCAAAACAAGGCCGAUGAAGGGAUCUUUUUGGGCUACUCCUUGAACUCAAAGGCAUAUAGGGUUCUGAAUAAACGUUUAAAGAAAAUUGAAGAAACCUACUAUGUCACUUUCGACGAUAACUAUGUCAAGAAGUUGAAGGCAACCAGAGAGAGCUUUUAAUUCUGAAUCCAAGGCUAAAGAUAACCAGGUCGACAAUUUGAAGCAAAUCAUUGACGACGCUGCAAAGAAGAUGGUAGAUGAACAACUGAAAGCAACUGAAAAGCCAACGACAAGAGAACCUCCAAAAGAUAAUUCUCAUGUUUAGGGGGAGGGUUCGUCUUCAUCAGAUAAUUAUAAGUCACCAGUCCAGGGGAGAAUAAGUCCUCAUCAAGUCCAACCGAAAGUCCAAUGGAAGGGGAGUGUUCUGAACUAGACAUCGAACUCAUGUCAUCAUUCGAGUGGGAGAAUGAUGAUGACACUUAAUCUGAACUCGAAGAAGAAAUAAACGUAGAACUGGAUCCCUCUUGUGAUCCAAAUUACCCUCCUCUCAUCAAGUAGACCAAAGAUCAUCCUCAAAGUUAAAUUAUUGGAAAAUCAUCUGAAAAGGUCUUAACUCGAUCAUAACUGAAAGCGAAACAGGUUGCAUUAUUCUCUCAAAUAGAAUUUUGUAUGUUCAACUCAUUCGUCUCCAAAGUUGAACCAGAGACGGUGAAUAUAGCUCUUGAUCAUUCCAAUUGGGUUCAAGCUAUGCAAGAUGAUCUGAACGAGUUUGAACGAAACAAAGUAUGGCGAUGAAUUCCAUCUCCAAAGGAUGCUUCGGUUGUUGGACUAAAGUGGGUUUUCAGGAAUAAGAUAGACAAGGAAGGAAACGUGAUUCGCAACAAGGCUCGGUUGGUUGUGAAAGGCUACUGUCAAGAAGAAGGCAUAGAUUAUGAAGAGACCUUCGCUUCAGUUUUAAGAUUAGAAUAGGUUUGAAUAUUUAUUGCUUAUGUUGCACACAAAAAUUUCGAAGUCUAUCUAAUGGACGUGAAGCGUGCCUUUCUCAAUGGAGAACUUGAAGAAACGGUGUAUGUAGAGCAACUGCCAGGCUUCGUGAACGAGAAGUAUCCAGAUUACUGCUACAUUCUGGACAAGGCAGUAUAUGGCCUGAAGCAGGCUCCUAGAGCAUGGUAUGAAACCCCUACUCUAUUCUUAAAAAUGUCCAAAUUUAAACAAGGUUUGGUUGACCCAACCUUAUUUAGUAAGAAAGUGGGUAACGACCUUAUGAUAGUCCAAAUUUAUGUUGAUGAUAUCAUCUUCGGCUCCACGAAUCCUAGCCUAACAGCCGAAUUCAGGAAGUUGAUGGAAACUAAAUAUGAGAUGAGCUCAAUGGGUCUGAUUAACUUUUUCCUAGGCUUUAAUAUUAGACAGGGACCUGAAGAAAUUUUUAUCAAUCAGGAGGCGUACACAAAGACAUUACUUGCCAAGUUUAGGAUGUUGGGAGACUCAAAGGUGAAGGUUCCUAUGGCGUUUGGCACUAAUUUUACACCAUCAUUGGAGAAAUCAGCUGCUGACAUGAUGCUUUUCGUCAGAUGAUUGGGCCACUGAUGUAUCUUCUUGCCAGUAGGCCAGAUAUUAAGUUAUCAGUCUGCUAUUGUGCCCAAUUCCAAGCUAACCCACGUGAACCUCACAUGCUGGCAGUGACGAAUAUUUUUCGCUAUCUGAAGCGAACCACCUCUCUCGGUCUAUGGUAUCUAGCCAACUCAGGAUUCUUUGUCCAGGCAUUCUCAGAUGCUGAGAUAGGGGGAUGUGGAUUGGAUCGUAAAAGCACUGCUAGAGGAUGCCAAUUUCUUGAUGGCAAAUUAGUAAGCUGGCAAUCAAAGAAACAAACCUGUGUUUCUCUCUCCACAACCGAAGCUGAAUACAUAGCCGCAACAUCAUACACAUCUCAGGUCGUUUGGAUACAGAGUCAACUUAGAGACUAUGGGCUGAACAUGAAGAAAAUCCCAAUAUAUUGCGACUCAGAAAGUACAAUUAGGAUUUGUCAUAACCCAGUGCAACACUCAAAUACAAAGCACAUAGCACUGCGAUAUCACUUUAUCAAAGAUCAUGUGGAAGAUGGUAACGUAGAGAUUCCUUUCGUUAGAACCACUAAUCAAUUAGCAGAUAUCUUUACUAAGGCCUUACCUGAAGUAAGUUUUAAUAAGAUCCUACAAGGCCAAUGAAUGAUGGAAGCUGAAUCUGUACCGAAAUCGGCUUCGCUUCAUUAAAGGUUGGAAGCGAAUUAGAGCGAAUGCUCGGUCUAUUUCGGGUUCGGUUCACCCAGGAACCGAAAUGAACCGAACGCUCGGUCUAUUUCGGGUUCGGUCCUACUGAACUCGUUUCGCAUUAUUUUGUUUAAAAGGAAUUUAAGUUGUAUACUUUUGUACACUCUUUUACAUACUUAUUUUUAUGUUUUUCUUUUCAUAUUUCUUAUUUUCAAAAAAUCCAAAAAUAAUUUUCUUUUUGUUUUUAUUUCUUUUUCUUUAGAAAUUUUUCACAAAAUACAAAAAUAUUUUAUUUCAUUUUAUUUUAUAUUUCUCAUGAUUUCAUGUUUAAAAGCUAUUCUCGAUUAUGGAACUGGAGCAGGUUUAAGUUUCUCUCUGUAUCAGUUAAGUGUCCGUGGAAGCAUGCUGCUGCAUGUCGACCGAAGCCUCUAUUGAUUUUGAGUGAAGCCGUAAUGAUGUGAUAUAUACAAAUCAUGUUUUCCUAAUUAGGCUGUUAAAUUCACUCUAAUCAUGAGCUACCUUACUCUUCUCAUAUUGAGCUUAGAGUUUUUUACUUGGUCCUACUUUUAUAGCAGAGGUACAUUCGGCUCCUUAACCAACUACACCAUUUUUCUCCAUCUCACUUCAUAUCAUUAACAUAACCCUUGAGACUCUUAGCAAUUACCACUGAGGGUUAUGGUUACGCAACAUCUGUGUUUAUGAUCUUAGUCUCGUGUUACUACGUACUACAUGAAACCUAAAACUCUAUACCUAUAAUGAAUUGAUGGUGAAUAAUUAAUAUGUUCUAGUUUUCACCAAUGAAUUAACGAAACCACUCUAUGCGGAGUUACCAGAAAUCUCUUUCUAUUUUGAAAGAUCCUUUUGAAAUUGUCUAUCACCAUGAAUUUUCUUCCCCAAGGAUCCAGUUUUAUUUUUUUUGAGACAAGACAAGAUUUUGGGCGAAUUUUCUCUCUCCUAAUCCCAAGUAUAAAAGGUUUCUCUAAAUCACCUUUACUCUUUUACCGCUUUCUAAUCUCCUAAAGCAAAAAGACGAUUUCUUUCAUUGUUCAUCAUCUUUUUCUCAAGCUACAUCAAUGGCAGAAUCUUCUUCUGUUCAAGACACCUCUGUUCGCUCCACCCUUGUGACCAUCAAGCCUCACCAAAAACUCAUAAUCGACCUUACACCAUUCACCUAUGAACCCUACAUGCUGCAAGUUGUGGAAUGCCUCAAAUAAUCUCCGCUUUUUAUCGCUCUGUCACAGGUGGAGGUUGUUCCCAUGUUGUGCCUCUCUCAUAUCUACGCAACUGAUCACCAUGACAAAGUCGCUGAGAGAAUCCACUUUAAUAUUCACAACGAGAAGACCUCGAUUUCCAAGAAUGAAUUAUGCACCCUGGUAGGUCUUACUCACUAAACUACCAUGGUAAACCCUGAGUCCAUCUCAACUGGUCAACUGUUCUCAAUGUUCUACAACAUAGGGUAUACUGAAACCCUAACCACCGUGAAGAAGUUCAAGAAAUCAUGCCUUUCUCCACAAUGGAAUGGCCUCUUCACUCUCAUAUUCAAAGGUCUCUCAGACCGAAGUGCUGGAUCAGAUGGGGCGAGCAAGUCAUUUAUGACCAUGCUUUAUGGCUUGUACAAUGGGGUAGAUCUUGACUUUGGUUCGGUCCUAUGGCAACAGCUUGUUCAAAGCUUAUCCUCCUCUUCUCUCCAUUUUGAAGUUUCGUGUGGAAGGUUCUGGACUAUUGUCACAAAAUGGGCGAUGGAUCGUUUUAAUGUCCCAAUCAUGGUAGACUCAGUUCUCUCCUUCAUCUCAACAUUCCACACAACAAAGAUUAUAGUCAUUGAUCCGUCCAAGUACUUGUUUAUUUGAUCGAUUCUGGCAUCCAUGUAUGCCUGUAUGUCUGAGGCGAGUAAUGUCAUACAAGAGUACAAGAAGCUUCCAUCUUCGGUCCUAAGGGAACUAACACCCACAAUGAUUCGUUCCAUUGAGGAAGCAGAUAUGUCGUGAAAGAGGGGAAAGAAACAAGAAAAGAAGAAGGAAUAAAGGAUUACCAAAGGAGCUAAGGGGCAAACUCCAAGGAAGAGAAAUUCUGAGAAGGCAGCACCUUCCCAGCCCAAGCUAAAGAAGACCAAGAAGCCUGCUCGGAAGCUUAUCCUUCAAUCAUCGAGCGACUCUGACUCCGAGUAUAUCCCUAAUGGACAUAAACAACCCACUCCUAGCGCAUCUGAGAGCGAAAGCUCUGAUGAUGAGGUUUCAGUUCAUGAUGAUACCCCACCUCGAUCGCCUACACAAGAGGUACAAGUUCACUCCAACGCACCUUCUCCUCCACCUGUUUCCAUUCCUAUUUCCUUACAUGCCACUUUCCCAGUUAUCACAUCACAACCCACUUCUACAAUUCCACUUCCUCCUCCUAUUUUUUCUGAUGCUACAACUACCACAAAAACUGAAGUUAAGACCAACUUAUCUGAUACGGGGGUUCGGUCUUCAGUCCCUGAAACAUCCAAACCGCUAUCUCCCACACUCUCAACCGAAACCAAUAUUGUCCUUGGUGGUGAAGAAAUGGAUUUUGAUUCUUUCUACUACAACCCCUACCGGGUUCAGAGUGAUGAAGAUGAUGAUGCUCUCGUUACCAAAAAGCACAUCAAGAAGCUGAAUGACAAAAUCGACAAUCUUAUGGCCUCUUCCUCCUCUCACUAUCCCUACUCUGAAGCUGCUAUUCAGAGCAUGGUUGACACUUUUUUCAAAGAUCAUGAAGCAUCAAUUUCUAAAGCCACAGAUGCAAUUGCAGCCUCAACCAAAGUCUGCACAGAAGUGACUGAAAAAGUCGAUAAACUAGUUCACAACGCUAAUAUUUUUCUUGAGUCUUUACAGGGAGCAGCUGAGUUGGACGCUUCUAAAGUGAACAGCUCCAUUGCCAAACUUGAAGAAUCCUUUGCUGCUGAGAAGCAACACUUUGCCUCCCUUCGCCAGAACAUUCAAAAGGAUAAUGUUUCCCUUCUGUCCUCUCUCAAUGAGCAUCUCAAGAAGCUCCAAGUUGAUCUAGCCAUGGAAAGCUUGAUCAUGGAUGAACUCGAUCUCAAGACUACUCAGCUGAAAACAAAAAAUCUCCUACUUUCUCAGGCAAACAAAGAGGUAGAUCACCUUCGCUCUGAAAGUGCUGUCGUCAAGAGCUAUGUCUCAGACGUACAUGCCAUUUUAUCGAACAUUCUGGAGGCUCACGAUCCUAUCUUGACCAUAGCAGUUAGACGAAAUAUUGUUGAAAAAUUAUGUCCUGCACUUGGGAUGUUGAGUCGCAUCGAAGGUGUUUCAGAGAUUGUGGUACCUCCGAAACAAGGGGGAGAAGAACUAACAUCUUCGUCUCAACCUCCUCCUAAGUCUCAACCUCCUCCUACUACCCAGCCCGAACAACAGAAGACUGAGCAUGCUUUGAGUUCGGGCUUUAAGGAUAAAGGCAAGGGUACUAUGGAUGACAGUGAUGAGGAAGAGGAGACAGUAGCAGAUGCUCUGAAGCGAAAGGCAAGGGAAAGGGAACUCGAUCUCAAUGCCAAGAUUGUAAAAGAAGCUAAAGAGAAUGAAAGAAGAUUAAAGGAGGCUCAUGAUCUCCUAGAAAGCAAGAAAUCCCUCUUUCCCCUAUGGACUCUGGAGCAGCUAAUCAAAAAAGCCAUCGAAUCCCCUAGCACUCAUUGGCUUGAGCCAGUAGUGUCUUUGGAUUGUGAAAAUACAAGGGACUCUUAGUUCGAUAUUCCAAUCAUCCAAAAGGCAUUUUUCACUGCUUUCUUUCUAUCGCAGAUGUACCUCAUCCAGACCCGAAGAUUGAUCGUGAGCUAAUCGACUACUAUUUGGAGUUCGCUCAACCUCAAUAUCUUACUUGGAGUGCUCAGAAAAUUAUCACAGUUCGGGUCCUUAGGCCUCACAUAGCAAGGAAAUUCAUUAAUGUCAAAUUCAAGGUUGUUGAAACAUAAAAGUGACCCUCUUGAACUUAGCUACCGCAAUCGUUCAGUACCUGCAACCAAUACAGCACCCGGAGUCAAUCUCUACAACUGUAACCGCAACCAUUCUCCAUCAGCAAUCAUAUCAGCAUCCAGAGUAUUCAAGUCUUUCCUAUCCGCAGUCUUAGUUAUUUCUUUUACCAUGUAAUUCACUCUAUUGUCCAGCAUGCCUUGCAUGGCUGCUGAUAGAGUAGUUCUUUUCUAAACUCUAUAAAUAGAGACUCUUUCUUAUGUAUUAAGUACUGGUGAUAUAUGUGAGUGUGAAAACUCUUAACUUCUCAAUACACAAGAUUUCUCAUUCAAUCAUCUUUCUUAUCUUCAUCAGUUAUCUAUCUUAUUACUCUUCACACUCAAACUGCUACUGAAACAUAACCUCUCUUCAGAGCAUGUCUUCUAGACUUAAUCACUAAACUUGAUCUCGCUUACUAACUUGGAGUGACUGUAUUCCUUGUUAUGAAUCAGUUUAAGUGUAUUCUUGAUAUAACUUUUGUCAUUUAUCUUUCUUUACUUUCCGCAACUAACUAUCUAACUAUCUAACUAUCUAACUUUAUUAUUGUUGAGCUUUUAGAUCCUUAGAGAUAACUAUUCCGCAACUUACUUGUGCUAACGUUUGUUCAAGUGUGUCUCCAAGUUUCUCUCUCAACAAUUGGUAUCAAAGCCAAAGUGGUUGCUUUUUGGAUAUCGGAACUCUGAUUUUCUCAUUAAGCCUUCUAUACCACGAAAGCUCAUUUAUCAAAAAAAAAAAACAAAAUGGCACAAUCGUUAUCUCUGAAUGUCUCCAAUAGUGUUGGUGGUUCUAAUCGAGCCCCAAUACUAGUAGCAAAUGAAUAUCAUCACUAGUCACAAAGAAUGGAGAGGUAAUUAAGAAGAUUAGGUAGAGAUGUAUGGAGAUCCAUGGAAGAAGGACCACAUGUUCCAGUCCUCACACCGAUCCAAACUGAUGGCGCUGCAACCAGACUAGGAGGAGGUCAACCAACUAUGAGCCGUCCUACCAAAGAUGAUCUCGAUAAAAUGGAAAAUGAUGCUAUUGCUUUUUAUGAAAUUUCGUGUGGUGUUGCUCCUGACAACUUUGAUAUUAUCAUAAACUGCAAGUCAGCAAAAGAGAUUUGGGAUGUACUCAAAAACCUGUACGAAGGAUUAGAACAAGCACAAGAUAAGAAGCUCACAACCGCACUCAACGACUUCAACAACUUCAAAGCUCAUGCUGGUGAAAGUUUGGAAGACUCCUUCAAAAGAUUCAACCUGAUAGUCACGAAGUUAUCAAAUUCUGGUACCAUCCGCAGCAAUCAUGAAACCAAUCUCUAGUUCCUUAAUGGUCUAUGAAGACAUUGGACUACGGCCAAAAUGAUAGUCCAAGGUGACAGAAAGAUUCACUCUUUAUCAAUCUACAAACUCUAUGGAGAACUUCAAGCCCAAGAAUCCACUGUACUCAAAGAUUGUGCUGACUUCGGAGGACCGCUUGCUCUGAUAGCACAAGCUCCACCGCAGUCACCCUACUCUUCCUCGUAUGACACCCCACCAUAGUCAUACGAAGCAGAUUCUGAGUAUGAUGAUGAAGAAGAUUUUCAGAAGGCUAUUGCUCUAGUUAGCCAACAGUUCAACCGCAUACCACCUUCCUCUUUCUGCAAGAAUCAACAAUUCAACAAACCACCAUUCAACUGUAACUUCGGUCCUCAGAACAACAACACUCGGUAUCCUAAAGUCUCUCAAAACAAUCAACCCAAGGAGGUACCGUAGUCUCCUCAGAACAAUGACUCUGAUACUCAACCAGAAGACAAGAAUGAUGUUGUGAUUUGUCACAAAUGCAAUAAAGAAAAUCACUUCGCAAAAGAUUGUAAGGCAAAUGUAGUCAAGGACAGAGCAUUCUAUCUUCGAAUGGCUCAGGAAUUGGAAGAAAAGGAAAAGGCAAGGGCAUAUGUGGCUCAAGUUAAAAGAGACCAUCAUGUUUGGUCAUCGGGAGAUGAAGAAGAGACCAUCAAUAGUAUUAAAGGAAAAGGGAAAAUCUGCAUGCUGGCCACUGCGGAUGAUGAUGGGUCAGCAAUAUUGAACAAAAACUAUUGCUACAUGGCGAAAGAUGGGACUCUAAGCAUCGUUGAAUAGGUAAAACUCAUGAUCCAAACUUUAAAUUAUAGCAUGCAUGAUUGUCAACCCUACAUAGAUGAUCUUAAUGACACUUGUGUUUCUGUCCUUUCAGACUAUAACAAAGCCUUAGAUGAGAAGAACAUUGCGUCCCAAGAGAUGUUCCACGUGAGAGGAAGACUGGAUAACAAGAGACUUAAGAUGGCAAUGUUAGAAAGGGAUCUGGAGUUAGAGAGAGAUGCUAGAAUGUUAAGUGAAACUCAAUUAGAAAUAGCCUUGAAUCAAAAAGAUUUAGCUCAGAGCAAAAUUGUACGCUUGAAUCUUUUAAUUGAAAAACUGUUUAAUGAAAGUGAGGCUAUUGAAAAUUUGGUAAACAAUGGAACCGUAGGCAAUACACAUAAUUGGGUUUGGUCAAAUAGAUAUCCUACCGCAAUGGAUUCCUCACCCCGGUUCAACAAAGACAGAUUGUAUGUCCCUCCUGAUAAAGAAUUUCAUUUCCCUGUCAAUCACAAGACUUUUCCCGAAGAUAUCAAAACUCACUACGGUAGAUUACACAAUUUGAGCAAUAAUUUUGUCAUUGAGGAAAUUGUGCCAGAGGAUUCUAGUCACAUAUGUGAUCAAACUCCCAUCAGUGGCACAACUCACUCCAAUUCUCAAGCUUCAUCCGAAGUUGAUGAAGAAAUUGUUGUUGAAGGCCCCGAAGUCUCAGAGGACAUUCCAUCUUUGUCCUCAGACUAUAGUCAACUGUCCUAGAAAUGUCCUACCGCAGUCUCAUCUAAAACCUACUAAGCGAUAGUCAAAUCAUCUUCACCGUAGUUAAAAAACAUUGACUGCAACUCUUCAGUUCAAGGAACUACAACUCUUCAACUGACUUUUCACGAAUUGCCUAUUGAAAAUUUUGAGGUAGGCCAAUGCUCUCAAAUUCCCGAAUCUUCAAGUUCUGAUGAUUCUAGCCCACGUUUUCAAAAUAAUUCAAAAGGUUCCAGGAAAGUACAGUUGAAUACCAAUGACUGUGGUUCACCAAAAUUUUUGGCAAAAAGAGCUUUCAAAGAAGAAAUUACAUCUCGAAACAAAAGUAGGCCAAAUUUUUCAAAAAUUAAGAAAAUUCCAAAAUCCAAGAGUUCAGAAAAUUCUUCUUUCAUGAAAACAAAAAAAAAAGGAAAGUUCAGUUUCAGAUCUACUCUUCAACUUACCCGAAGUGGAAAUGAGUUUUACCCACUCCAACACUUUUAAAAUCAAAUCAAAACAAAUGGAAAGGAAUUUUAUCAAAUCCAUCUAGAGCAACUCAAAGAUUUACACGUGCGAAACCUUGUUCAAAACAAACUUUUCAAAGCUCAAACAUCAAAUCUUUCAAAAGUUACCCACCUCGGACUAAUUUCAAGUCCAACACACCCCAUAAACUGCUGACCAAGCACAAUGUCAGAUUCAAUGACAAACCUUCUUUUUGCAAAUGUCAGUGCAGCUGUCAAAGGUUUUUAUCUCAUGUCAAGUCCAAUCAAAGUCAGAAAUCUCGUACUUUUCAGAAAACUUGUAACAAUCCAAAUCUGAACAAACACCUAGGACUCGGUCUGAAAGAUGACAAAAGACCUAUCCAUGCAACCUCGGACCAUGCAUCAUUUAAGAAUACAUCAGUCGUCCUUGGCUCCAAACUUGUUUGGAUGCCUAAACUAACCGUUUAAUUCUCAGGCUUUGUGCAAGGAGGAACAAGAAGAAGAAUGGUUAAUUGACAGUGCCUGCUCCUUGCACAUGACCGGAAGGUUAGAGUACCUUCGGGAUUUUAGGCCUAUAUGCAAUGGUGGAAAUGUCACGUUUGGCAACAAUGCAAACGGUGUCAUCCGAGGUUACGGUGUUCUCACUACGGGGAACUUUUCCGUUCAGAAGGUUGCUUAUGUAGAAGGUCUUAAACACAAUCUUAUCAGUUUUGGCCAACUAUGUAAAGCAGGACAUCGAGUUGAAUUUGACAAUCAAUUAUGUUACAUAAUGACGAGUGAUCGCAACACCUGCUUAAUCAAGUCUCGCUCCGAAGGCACGAUGUAUCCUCUAGAUGUUUCUCUCAUCAUUGGUAAAACGCAGCUGUGCUUUCUGUCUAAAGCUGUAUCUGAAGUCUGUUGGCUGUGGCACCACAAGUCAUCCUCUGAUAAUGGAUUCUUCUAUCUCUGAGCCACUAGAGCUAUUACACAUCGAUCUCUGCGGUCCGCCAACUGUAGCUAGUCUUCACCACAAAAAUAUAUAAUGGUUAUUGUUGAUGACUACACACGCUUCACAUGGGUCUUCUUUCACAGACUUAAAUCAGAGACACCGCAUAUCUUCAUUAACUUCACUAAAGAAAUCGAACUUCAAAUCAAGCUUCCAGUCAGAUGCAUCCCCAGUGACAAUGGAACUGAGUUCACUAAUCAUCUUCUGAACAGUUUCCUAGUUUCCAAAGGCAUCUAUCAAAACUUUUCAGCAGCCUAUACACCGCAAAAAAAUGGUGUAGUAGAAAAAAGGAACCGCACUCUCGUUGAAGCAGCCAGAUCCAUGCUUAACUUCGCCCAACUUCCUCUCCACUUUUGGGCUGAAGCCGUAGCAACCGCAUGUUUUGUUCAAAACCGAAGUAUUAUUUGCAAGCGUCUCAAUAAAACACCAUAUGAGGGUCUCAACAAUCACAAACCCAAUGCUCGUUUCUUUCAUAUCUUUGGAUGUAGAUGCUUCGUGAUCAACAACAGAGACCAACUCAACAAGUUUGCACCAAAGUCAGAUGAAGGUGUCUUCGUUGGUUAUUCUACUGACAACGUUGUAUAUCGAGUGCUCAUCAGAAGAACAAGGUUGAUCAUCGAAAGCUUCGAUGUGAAAUUUGAUGACUCUCACAUCCGCAGUGCACCUCCAUCUACCGAAACAACUGCAAUCAUGGAAAGUGACAUUCCAGCCACUUCUAGACCUCUAAAUCUAGUUGAAAUCAACUAUGAUGAUCUGUUUGAUCCCAUUGAAACGGCGAAACUAUCCGAAGUCCUAGUGUCAUCCGCAGCUCAACAACAACAUGCUGACGUAUCUGGACCGUCUCUAUCUGAAGUAGUAUCGCUCAAUACUUCCACCUCUCUGGUUGAGGGGGAAAGCUCUAAUCCGGAUAUUGUUGCAACCGUUAAGAUUCCAGUACCUGAUGUUGUUUACAUUCCUACCCGAAGUGAAGCCUCACCAUCAAACGAACCUUCAGACGACUCAAAUGACGAAGUCUUAGAGAAUAUUGACACUAGAUCCGAUCCUAAAAUUGUCACUCUUUCAUCUGCAUUCCAGGGGAAACCUUCUCAACUUCUAGAGGAACACCCAUCCGCAAUCCAGGGGGAACCUCAACCUCUGCCAAUUCCUCAAGAAAAUUCUACCUCAAUAGAUCAAUAUGUUUUAGCAGGAUGCUCUCAAAUCUAAGGGGAACUACCAUCUCCAACCGCAGAUUCCUCUGACUUCCAAGACAUUCCUUCUACCGCAGCUGCUGAUCAUCUAAUGCGACGUCUUCAUGUAUGGACAAGAGACCAUCCACCAAGUCAAAUUAUUGGCAAUCCAUCCGCAGGUAUCCAGACUCGGUCUUCCAAGGACUUAUCUGAUCACUGCCAUUAUGCAACAUUUAUGUCUUCAGUUGAACCUAGAACGUUCAAAGAAGCUUUGCUUGAACCAGACUGGAUAGCUGCAAUGCAAGAAAAGUUAGAAGAAUUUGAAAGAAACAAAGUAUGGCAACUUGUUCCUCUUCCACAAGGUCAUACUAUUGUUGGUACAAGAUGGGUUUUCAAGAACAAGCUAGACGAAUCUGGCUCAGUCAUCUGAAACAAGGCAAGACUUGUUGCCAAGGGCUAUAGUCAACUAGAAGGCAUUGACUACGAUGAAACGUAUGCUCCGGUAGCACGAAUGGAAGCCAUCCGGAUCUUUCUAGCAUACACAACCCACAAAAAUGUCAAGGUACACCAAAUGGACGUUAAGAGUGCUUUCCUCAAUGGUGAACUAAAAGAAGAAGUUUAUCUUUAGCAACCUCCAAGAUUAGAAAAUGAUGAAUUUCCAGACCACUGCUAUAAGCUCGAAAAAGCAGUAUAUCGCCUGAAACAAGCUCCAAGGGCUUGGUAUGAGACACUCUCUGAUUUUCUUGUCUCAUCCGGGUACAAAAGAGGAGUGAUUGAUCCCACAUUAUUCAGAAAAGCAAAUGGUGACCACCUUAUGAUGGUACAAAUAUAUGUGGAUGAUAUCAUUUUUGGGUCUACUGAUCAAGAUAUGGUAGAUGAAUUUGCAAAGCUCAUGACCAACAAAUUCAAAAUGAGCAUGAACAGAGAGACCAACUUCUUUCUAGGUCUUCAAGUCAAACAAAUUCAGUAAGGAAUUUUCAUUCAUCAAGAAAAAUACACCACAGAACUUCUGAAGAAAUACUCAAUGGAUAACUGUGAUGGGUUUAGAGCAUUCUAACACUUCCUUAGUGUACAUGCAACCCUAAUAACCUUGAAUCUAUGUUUUCUCUAUAUACAUGCAAAUUUCUUUUUCAAGGUUAUUUCCUAACUAGCAUGGCAUGGGGAAUAUAUGAAACAUAAAAAACUAGUAGAAAUGCAUACCUUGUUGUUGCUUGGAUUCCUUCAAGACUUUGUGAGCCUAGCACCCCAAACGUUGUGCCUCAAAUGCUUCACAACACCACAAAACUUGGAAUAACUUGAGAGAAUACUUCUAGCACUCAAAAUUGGUUAUGCCCUUUCUAGUAACACUCAACGGUCCGAUUUUACUAGCCAAAGGGUUCCUUUUAUAGUGGUGUCACAAUUAGGGUUUCAUUAAGAAGACCCAUAAUUUUCAUGACUCUUCAUUUCUCAUGACCCAUGGGUUUGUAACUCCCAUGGACUAUCCAUGGAGCUCCAAAUGGUUACAUCCAUAACCCAUAAACCAUGGAUCAUUAAUCCACCAUAAAAGAAUUGAUGAUUGUCAUAAUCAACCCUAUCUAUUUAAUUAGUCUCACUUUGAUCACCAAAUUAAUACUAGAUUAAUACUUGAUCAAUACUAAUUAAAUAACACUAUUAUUAAUAUAUUAGAACUUAUAAUAUAUUAAUAAUCAUAAGUGCCAUAUUCUCUCAUUUAGUCUAUCCAAGUAUUGCAAUGCCAUGCAACCCAAAUGGACCAUGCCGGGUCGGAUCAAGUACAUACCAAAUAAAGUUAUGGACUUAGACACUAUAUCCAACAGUCUCCCACUUGGAUAAGUCUAAUAACUAUAUUUGCAAAUAUGACUUCAAAAUCCGACUAGCAAUCGUAGCUCUUUCAAAGUCUCUCGGAACUGAGAUGAUAAUGAUACGCCAUUUAAGAUAAGUGAUCAUAUAAUCCUCUGCUCUCAUGAUAUCAGCCGGACAAACACAUGGAACAUGGUAUUACUUAUUGUGUAUCAUUUGUUUCUCGAUCUCCGAUUUGUUUCAACAUAGAACUAAAUUGAACACAUCAAUUAGGUUCUGACCGGGCCCGAUACAUGGGUCAAAACCAAAUCAUCGAGGGGCCCAGAUAUCGCUUCUAUUUCUAGAAGGAACAGAUAAACUUCGACUGAUAUGCUUGUACUAACUACUUGUUGAAUUAUUCACAAAGGCACGUUUUAUAACAUCGAGUUACCAAUGCGUUUUCGUACAAUCAAUGAAUAACCAACUCAUAGUCAACAACUCAUAUCUCUAGGUUUGAAGAUUUAUAUGAUAUUACCGUCUCACGAUCACUCGAGAUAAAUUCCAUGAAGUGAUGCAAGUGAGCGUUGGUUGAAUCGAAUACUCAACCCUUAUGAGUACACAUGAAUGUUGUAGCAACCAUUGCAUUGCCCAAAGCACUUUAGACAAAUCGUACAAGCCAAAUUCAUUACAGUCUUAAAUCAAUACUUACUUCCAAAGUUUGACUGACUAUGGAUGGUUUGAAUAAUAUGAUAUAUACCAUAACAUAAUUAUUCUGGAAGUAAAAACAUGCAAAAUUGAAACAUAGUAAACAAUCAACACAAGAUAGUAACACCUUACUCAUAAAUAAAUAACAACUUUUAUUUAUCAUCAAAUGUCAAUUACAUUUUACAAGUUUCAUGAAUCUAAUUAUUGAAACUAAUAUCAUCCUUCAGCCAAAUGCGCCUUGCAUGUUGUACAUGCUUAACCCUACUCAGUCCCUUUGUGAAGGGAUCUGCCGGGUUCUCAUCUAAUGAAACCCUCUUUGCCAUGAGGAGUCCUUCUUCUAAUCUAUGUAUGAUGAAAUGGUAUUUUCUGUCAAUGUGCCUAGAUCUCCCGUGAUCUCUUGGUUCCUUCGCCAAAGCAACCGCACUUUCACUAUCACAGAAAAUUUCCAUUGGCUCCUUUAUAGCUGGUACAACUCCAAGGUCUCCGAUGAAGUUCUUUAGCCAUAUCGCCUCUUUUGCUGCCUCGCUUGCUGCUAUGUACUCUGAUUCACAAGUCGAAUCAGCUACUGUCUCUUUCUUGGAACUUUUCCAAGUGAUGGCUCCCCCAUUUAGGAUAAAGACCCAGCCUAAAUGAGAGCGGAAAUUAUCCCUAUCAGUUUGAAAGCUAGCAUCACUAUAUCCUUCCACUCUCAAGUCAUCACUGCCCCCGAGGAUAAGGACCAAGUCCUUAGUCCUCCGCAAAUACAUGAGAAUGUUCUUUACCGCUGUCCAGUGUGCCUUGCCAGGGUUCCCUUGAUAUCUACUGACCAUGCUCAAAGCAAAGGCCACAUCAGGGCGAGUACAAGUCAUAGCAUACAUGAUCGAGCCCACAGCGGAAGCAUAUGGUAUCUGACUCAUUUCAGCUAUCUCAGCCUCUGUACUCGGACUCUGAGUCUUACUUAGCUUGGCAUUACUCUAGAUUGGCAACUCUCCUUUCUUGGAAUCUUGCAUACUGAACAUCUUCAGUACCUUAUCCAUAUAAAUACUUUGACUAAGUCCAAUUAGUCUCUUACUCCUAUCUCUCAAUAUCCUUAUCCCUAGGAUAGAGGCAACUUCCCAAGGUCCUUCAUAGCAAAACACUUCCCAAGCCAGGCCUUAACCUCCUGCAAAGUUGGGAUGUCGUUUCCUAUGAGAAGUAUGUCAUCCACAUACAACACCAAGAAGCUAACUAUGCUCCCACUAGCCCUGACAUACACACAAGACUCAUCCUCACUCCUAGAAAAGCCAAACUCUUUGACUUUCUCAUCAAAGCAAAGAUUCCACCUGCGAGAUGCUUGUUUCAAUCCAUAAAUGGAUUUUUCAAGCUUACACACUCUAUUAGGGUAUUUUGGAUCGACAAAACCCUCUGGCUGAGCCAUGUAAACAUCCUCAGCCAACUUCCCAUUAAGGAAAGCGGUUUUGACAUCCAUUUGCCAUAUUUCAUAGUCAUGAAAUGCAGCUAUGGCUAACAACACUCUAAUAGACUUAAUCUUAGCUACUGGUGAGAAGUUCUCAUCAUAGUCAACUCCCGGAGUUUGAGUAAAGCCCUUCGCAACCAGUCACGCUUUAUAAGUGUGUACUUUCCCAUCCAUGUCAGACUUCUUCUUGAAGAUCCAUUUGCACCCAACUGUCUUACGACCUAGUACAUUGUCAACCAAAUUCCAAACUUGAUUGUCAUACAUGGACUGAAUCUCGCUGUCCAUAGCCUCCUUGCAUUUUGCAGACUCAAGGCCUGCCAUGGCUUCCUUAUAAUUAUUAGGUUCANNNNNNNNNNNNNNNNNNNNNNNNNNNNNNNNNNNNNNNNNNNNNNNNNNNNNNNNNNNNNNNNNNNNNNNNNNNNNNNNNNNNNNNNNNNNNNNNNNNNGUAACAGGUGAUGCUUUCUUGUUGCCCAUGACUAAGUUUAUCUUCUCGUUCUCUACUUGCUCACUUCUUCUUAGUGCCUGCAAAUUAGUAUAAAUGUGAAUACCACACCCUGUAUCAAGCACCCAAGUAUUAGCAUUAGAUGAGUUGUUAGACAAUAUUGUGUAAAUACCUGCAUGGGUGGGUUUAACCUUCCCAUCCUUUACAUCUUGCGGAUAUUUGGCGCAGCUUCAUUUGAAGUGUCCUCUAUCUUGGCAAUAGAAGCACUAUGCUUCCUUUCGGUUCGAAGAAGGAGUAAUGGGACCUUUCUUUGUCCCACUUGAAGAGGAACCAUCAAGAGUCUUACCCUUGGUACCCUUUGAAGGGCUUUUCCUCUUCUUACCCUUCCCUUGCUCAAUUGCAAGAACAGGGGCUGUUAGAGGAGUAGAAUUAGCAACUGCUUUACCCUUAAGGCCAUUUUUAGUUGUCCUUAAGAGUCGUUGAAGUUUGCUAAGUGUGACUUCCUCCUUAUUCAUAUGAUAAGUCAUACGAAACUGAUCAUAACUUGAAGGUAAGGAAUGGAGAAUGAUGUCAAUCGCCAAUUCCUCAGGGAAGUCAACAUUGAGCUUUAGCAACCGGUUAACAAACCUCUGCAUCUUCUACAAGUGACCGGUGAUGGGUUCACCAUCCUUCAUCCUUGCAGUUAUCAUGGAGAAAAUGAUUUCAUACCUCUCUUAACGCGCGCUCUGAUGGUACCUUUCCAUCCCAUAGGGGUAGAAAUCUUCAUAAGAUUUUUGGAGUUUUGGAGUCAUUGUGGCCAUCAUGAUGCAGGACACCUUGGUGGCAUCCUUCUCAUGUGCAAUGAACUCCGCAAGNGCAGUGGCUUCAUUAACAACCUUAAGCUCCCUAUCAAGGACAUAUUCUUUGUCCUCAUAGCGGGUAAUCAUCCUGAUGUUUCUGAUCCACUCAUUGAAGUGGGAUCCAUCAAAGAUGACAUUACCACACAAGUUCAUUAGGGAAAAGGAGCCUGUAGGGUUUGAGCCAACAACAUUAUUGGAAGACAUCUGGAAUAGUAGGAAGAUAAGUUUCAUUAGAUUAAGAGUCCUUAAUAAGUCACCCNNNNNNNNNNNNNNNNNNNNNNNNNNNNNNNNNNNNNNNNNNNNNNNNNNNNNNNNNNNNNNNNNNNNNNNNNNNNNNNNNNNNNNNNNNNNNNNNNNNNAAAAUGGAAUCUGGAAAUGUUUCAAAGUUAAGAAUUAUUCAAUCUAUGUAAGAUUAAGGAAACUUCAUGCAAGAAGGAUAUUUCCAAGGAACUGAUCUCCUUUGGAAUGCUCUGUAAUGGUUGUUGUCAAGUCUUUAUGACUUUGUGCAUAAUCAUUACAAGAGGACCAAUGCAUAUAAGUUUAGAAUCUGACAGAUUCCAGUAAAUGGCAUGAAUUUGGAAUUCUUGCAUUUGUAGUAAGGAUUUGGGAGUGUGAAAAAAAGAAUCAUUGAAGUUAUGUUCAAUGGAUCUAGUUCACAAAGUAAAGAUCAUAGACAAACAUAGUAUGCAUACUUAGUGUGUGGCAUGACUAGUGUUUAGAAAACAUAGUGUACAUGCUUGGAGCAUGGGACAACUGUUGUUUUAAAUUCAAGNNN
RNAcentral lists this long non-coding RNA (23903 nucleotides) under Lactuca sativa (garden lettuce). RNAcentral's name for it is "long non-coding RNA (LSAT_LNC007433)". Lineage: Eukaryota; Viridiplantae; Streptophyta; Magnoliopsida; Asterales; Asteraceae. The record is from RNAcentral.